GACGAACGCUGGCGGCGUGCUUAACACAUGCAAGUCGAACGGAAAGGCCCUGCUUGCAGGGUACUCGAGUGGCGAACGGGUGAGUAACACGUGGGUGAUCUGCCCUGCACUUCGGGAUAAGCCUGGGAAACUGGGUCUAAUACCGGAUAGGAGCCAUUUUUAGUGUGAUGGUUGGAAAGUUUUUUCGGUGUAGGAUGAGCUCGCGGCCUAUCAGCUUGUUGGUGGGGUAAUGGCCUACCAAGGCGGCGACGGGUAGCCGGCCUGAGAGGGUGGACGGCCACAUUGGGACUGAGAUACGGCCCAGACUCCUACGGGAGGCAACAGUGGGGAAUAUUGCACAAUGGGCGCAAGCCUGAUGCAGCGACGCCGCGUGGGGGAUGACGGCCUUCGGGUUGUAAACUCCUUUCGCUAGGGACGAAGCUUUUUGUGACGGUACCUAGAUAAGAAGCACCGGCUAACUACGUG
Molecule: ribosomal RNA, 465 nt
Filed under: uncultured bacterium
Lineage: Bacteria
Description: partial 16S ribosomal RNA
Rfam family: Bacterial small subunit ribosomal RNA
Source: RNAcentral